Molecule: non-coding RNA, 395 nt
Organism: Prunus mume (Japanese apricot)
Lineage: Eukaryota; Viridiplantae; Streptophyta; Magnoliopsida; Rosales; Rosaceae
Source: RefSeq, a predicted model, not a curated record
GCUGUCUUCACAGGGAGUAGCGCCAAAAGUAUUUUCUCACUGCUUCAAAGGAGAUGACACUGGUGGGGGGAUACUGGUUCUUGGUGAGAUCGUGGAUCCUAACAUCGUUUAUAGCCCGCUUGUCCAAAAUCAGCCUCAUUAUAACUUAAAUCUGGAGAGCAUUAGUGUUAACGGCCAAACGCUAGCCAUUGAUCCAUCAGUUUUUUCAACAUCAAGCAACCAAGGAACAAUAGUUGAUUCUGGGACAACUUUGGCAUACCUUGCAGAAGAUGCAUAUGAUCCUUUUGUCAAUGCUAUAACAAGCGCUGUCUCACAAUCCGUGACCCCUGUUACCUCCCAGGGAGAACAAUGCUACAUAGUCACAUCCAGGUUCACAUUUUGAAUAUUUUAUCUCA